UUUAUGGAGAGUUUGAUCCUGGCUCAGGAUGAACGCUGGCGGCGUGCCUAAUACAUGCAAGUCGAGCGAACAGACGGGGAGCUUGCUCCCCCGACGUUAGCGGCGGACGGGUGAGUAACACGUGGGUAACCUACCUAUAAGACUGGAAUAACUCCGGGAAACCGGGGCUAAUGCCGGAUAACAUGUGUGGACCGCAUGGUCCUACAGUGAAAGAUGGUCUUGCUGUCGCUUAUAGAUGGACCCGCGCCGUAUUAGCUAGUUGGUAAGGUAACGGCUUACCAAGGCAACGAUACGUAGCCGACCUGAGAGGGUGAUCGGCCACACUGGAACUGAGACACGGUCCAGACUCCUACGGGAGGCAGCAGUAGGGAAUCUUCCGCAAUGGGCGAAAGCCUGACGGAGCAACGCCGCGUGAGUGAUGAAGGCCUUCGGGUCGUAAAACUCUGUUAUUAGGGAAGAACAAAUGUGUAAAUAACUAUGCACGUCUUGACG
Molecule: ribosomal RNA, 492 nt
Filed under: Staphylococcus pettenkoferi
Lineage: Bacteria; Bacillati; Bacillota; Bacilli; Caryophanales; Staphylococcaceae
Description: bacterial SSU rRNA
Rfam family: Bacterial small subunit ribosomal RNA
Source: RNAcentral